UACCAGCUCUCCGAGUGGUAGGGAUGAUUAUUGGGCUUAAAGCGUCCGUAGCCGGCUUAGCAAGUUUCCUGUUAAACUCAGCGACUCAAUCGUUGGAUCGCGGGAAAUACUACUAGGCUAGGAGGCGGGAGAGGUCAACGGUACUUCUGGGGUAGGGGUGAAAUCCUAUAAUCCCGGGAGGACCACCAGUGGCGAAGGCUGUUGACUAGAACGCGCUCGACGGUGAGGGACGAAAGCUGGGGGAGCGAACCGGAUUAGAUACCCGGGUAGUCCCAGCUGUAAACGAUGCGAGCUAGGUGUUGGAAUGGCUACGGGCCAUUUCAGUGCCGCAGGGAAGCCAGUAAGCUCGCCGCCUGGGGAGUACGGCCGCAAGGCUGAAACUUAAAGGAAUUGGCGGGGGAGCACCACAAGGGGUGAAGCUUGCGGUUU
Molecule: ribosomal RNA, 429 nt
Filed under: uncultured archaeon
Lineage: Archaea
Description: bacterial SSU rRNA
Rfam family: Archaeal small subunit ribosomal RNA
Source: RNAcentral